Molecule: ribosomal RNA, 467 nt
Filed under: uncultured bacterium
Lineage: Bacteria
Description: partial 16S ribosomal RNA
Rfam family: Bacterial small subunit ribosomal RNA
Source: RNAcentral
GACGAACGCUGGCGGCGUGCUUAACACAUGCAAGUCGAACGGAAAGACCCUGCUUUUGUGGGGUGCUCGAGUGGCGAACGGGUGAGUAACACGUGAGUAACCUGCCCUUGACUUUGGGAUAACUUCAGGAAACUGGGGCUAAUACCGGAUAGGAGCUCCUGCUGCAUGGUGGGGGUUGGAAAGUUUCGGCGGUUGGGGAUGGACUCGCGGCUUAUCAGCUUGUUGGUGGGGUAGUGGCUUACCAAGGCUUUGACGGGUAGCCGGCCUGAGAGGGUGACCGGCCACAUUGGGACGGAGAUACGGCCCAGACUCCUACGGGAGGCAGCAGUGGGGAAUAUUGCACAAUGGGCGGAAGCCUGAUGCAGCAACGCCGCGUGCGGGAUGACGGCCUUCGGGUUGUAAACCGCUUUCGCCUGUGACGAAGCGUGAGUGACGGUAAUGGGUAAAGAAGCACCGGCUAACUACGU